This 68-nucleotide transfer RNA is filed under the name Pylocheles mortensenii. Its description in RNAcentral is "tRNA-Ser". The record is from RNAcentral. Lineage: Eukaryota; Metazoa; Arthropoda; Malacostraca; Decapoda; Pylochelidae.
GAUUAUUUAUUUUAUAAAAAAAAUAAGUGUUUUGAAAACACUAGAAAAGUUAAAAAACUUAAUUAUCA